Molecule: ribosomal RNA, 1286 nt
Filed under: human oral metagenome
Description: bacterial LSU rRNA
Rfam family: Bacterial large subunit ribosomal RNA
Source: RNAcentral
GCCCGUACCGUAAACCGACACAGGUGGGUGGGAUGAGUAUUCUAAGGCGCGUGGAAGAACUCUCUUUAAGGAACUCUGCAAAAUAGCACCGUAUCUUCGGUAUAAGGUGUGCCUAGCUUCGUUAAGAAUUUACUUCGUAAGCGAAGAAGGUUACAACAAAGAGUCCCUCCCGACUGUUUACCAUAAACACAGCACUCUGCUAACUCGUAAGAGGAUGUAUAGGGUGUGACGCCUGCCCGGUGCUCGAAGGUUAAUUGAUGAUGUUAGCUUAUGCAAAGCAUCUGAUCGAAGCCCGAGUAAACGGCGGCCGUAACUAUAACGGUCCUAAGGUAGCGAAAUUCCUUGUCGGUUAAAUACCGACCUGCAUGAAUGGCGUAACGAGAUGGGAGCUGUCUCAAAGAGGGAUCCAGUGAAAUUGUAGUGGAGGUGAAAAUUCCUCCUACCCGCGGCAAGACGGAAAGACCCCGUGGACCUUUACUAUAGCUUGACACUGCUACUUGGAUAAAGAUGCGCAGGAUAGGUGGGAGGCUUCGAUUCGUAGAUCUCGGUUUACGAUGAGCCAUUGUUGAGAUACCACUCUUCUUUAUUCGGGUAGCUAACUAGCCUAAGUUAUCCUUAGGUAGGACAAUGUCUGGUGGGUAGUUUGACUGGGGCGGUCGCCUCCCAAAAUGUAACGGAGGCUUACAAAGGUUGGCUCAAAGCGGUUGGAAAUCGCUUGCAGAGUAUAAAGGCAAAAGCCAGCUUAACUGCGAGACAUACACGUCGAGCAGAGACGAAAGUCGGUCUUAGUGAUCCGGUGGUUCUGUGUGGAAGGGCCAUCGCUCAAAGGAUAAAAGGUACCCCGGGGAUAACAGGCUGAUCUCCCCCAAGAGCUCACAUCGACGGGGAGGUUUGGCACCUCGAUGUCGGCUCAUCGCAUCCUGGGGCUGGAGCAGGUCCCAAGGGUAUGGCUGUUCGCCAUUUAAAGCGGUACGCGAGCUGGGUUCAGAACGUCGUGAGACAGUUCGGUCCCUAUCUGCCGUGGGCGUAAGAAGAUUGAGGAGAGUUGACCCUAGUACGAGAGGACCGGGUUGAACCGACCACUGGUGUACCGGUUGUUCUGCCAAGAGCACCGCCGGGUAGCUAAGUCGGGAUGCGAUAAGAGCUGAAAGCAUCUAAGCUCGAAGCCGACUCCAAGAUGAAUCUUCUUUUAAGAGCUCUAGUAGACUACUAGUUUGAUAGGCCGGAUGUGUAAUGGAUGAAAGUCCUUUAGCUGACCGGUACUAAUAGCUCGUUUGCUUAUCUUU